GAUGAACGCUUGCGGCAGGCUUAAUACAUGCAAGUCGAACGGUAACAGGGUCUUCGGACUGCUGACGAGUGGCGGAUGGGUGAGUAACGCGUAUGCAACCUUCCUCACACCGAGAAAAAGUCGACUGAAAAGUUGAAUAAAGUCUCGUGGUGUGCAUUUCUCGCAUGAGAGAUGUAUGAUAGGAGCAAUUUGGUGUGAGAUGGGCAUGCGUAUCAUUAGCUAGUUGGUAAGGUAACGGCUUACCAAGGCUACGAUGAUUAGGGGGCCUGAGAGGGUGGUCCCCCACACUGGGACUGAGACACAGCCCAGACUCCUACGGGAGGCAGCAGUAGGGAAUAUUGGUCAAUGGGCGGAAGCCUGAACCAGCCAUGCCGCGUGAUGGAUGACGGCCUUAGGGUUGUAAACAUCUUUUCUGCUAGAGGAAUAGAGUCCACGUGUGGACAGACGACUGUAUAGCAGGAAUAAGGAUCGGCUAACUCCGUGCCAGUAGCCGCGGUAAUACGGAGGAUUCGAGCGUUAUCCGGAUUUACUGGGUUUAAAGGGUGCGCAGGCGGGCUCUUAAGUCAGCGGUGAAAUGUCUGGGCUUACCCUAGGAAUUGCCGUUGAUACUGGGAGUCUUGGAUAAGCAUAAGGACGGCGGAAUGCGUAGUGUAGCGGUGAAAUGCUUAGAUAUUACGUAGAAGACCAAUUGCGAAGGCAGCUGUCUGGGUCUUUAUCGACGCUCAAGCACGAAAGCGUGGGGAGCAAACAGG
Molecule: ribosomal RNA, 752 nt
Filed under: uncultured Bacteroidales bacterium
Lineage: Bacteria; Pseudomonadati; Bacteroidota; Bacteroidia; Bacteroidales
Description: bacterial SSU rRNA
Rfam family: Bacterial small subunit ribosomal RNA
Source: RNAcentral